This 520-nucleotide ribosomal RNA is filed under the name uncultured Glomus. RNAcentral describes it as "SSU rRNA". It matches the Rfam family "Eukaryotic small subunit ribosomal RNA", at positions 569 to 1092 of the family's 1831-position model. Lineage: Eukaryota; Fungi; Glomeromycota; Glomeromycetes; Glomerales; Glomeraceae. The record is from RNAcentral.
AGCAGCCGCGGUAAUUCCAGCUCCAAUAGCGUAUAUUAAAGUUGCUGCAGUUAAAAAGCUCGUAGUUGAAUUUCGGGACCGAUAUAUCGGUCGUGCCUCGGUACGUACUGGUAUUUUUGGUUUCUCCCUUCUGACGAACCUUGAUGUCAUUAAUUUGGUGUCUUGGGGAAUCAGGACUGUUACUUUGAAAAAAUUAGAGUGUUUAAAGCAGGCUCACGCUUGAAUACAUUAGCAUGGAAUAAUGAAAUAGGACGUCUGAUUCUAUUUUGUUGGUUUCUAGGAUCGACGUAAUGAUUAAUAGGGAUAGUUGGGGGCAUUAGUAUUCAAUUGUCAGAGGUGAAAUUCUUGGAUUUAUUGAGGACUAACUACUGCGAAAGCAUUUGCCAAGGAUGUUUUCAUUAAUCAAGAACGAAAGUUAGGGGAUCGAGGACGAUCAGAUACCGUCGUAGUCUUAACCAUAAACUAUGCCGACUAGGGAUCGGAUGAUGUUAAUUUUUAAUGACUCAUUCGGCGCCUUAUG